UUUUUCCUGAGUAUAUUUAAAGCAAGUUAUUCAGGGAUUUUUUUUGCUUAUCCUCUUAAAGCAUAGGUUUAAUUUUGAGUGCAUCUUUUAUUGUGAGAGGGCAAGCCUUUGAUCGAGUGACAUUUGCAUUUCAGUAUGGGGAAGGGCUUUACGUUCUCUUCACAUGCACCACCCUACUCCAUGUAUCUUCGUGGUUUGUGCUAGUCACUAUUUAAAACACUGGCUACCAAGUGCGGCUUUGUGGACAGAAUCUGUAUGUUCUGUGCAGCCAAAAAAACAAAAUAGAACAAGGGAAAAUUCAAAAUGAAUAGCUCCUUUGAAAGAAACAGUUUCCAUAGGACUGUUUUCAAUAAGAUGUACUCAGCUACAGAAUGCAAUGACAUCAUCUAAAAUAUAGCAAGUUCAGAUUGACCAUAUCUCAUCAUUUAUUUCUUUUGUAAAAGAGCAAAUGGAAUAUAUUUUUUAGGUGUUUCUUUGUGCAAGUGCCUCGCACAUCCUGUUCGGAUAGCAUUAGAAAUAAUAAUGAAACAAGCUGUAGGUAACGUUAUGAUUUCCAAAAAGUUCUUAAAUAUGAGGCCGUGAAAAUGUGUCCUUUGAAGGAUCAGCAAGCCUGUGGCAUUGUCUGUGAAAAUGGAAAGAAUUGAUAAGACCUCUGCAUGUAUGAUCUUUAUCAGGUUUGCAAUGAUUCCCAUUUUAUAAGGUAACAUAUUUUUAUCCUUGUUGCACAGGGAAAUGUUCUGUUUUCCUUCAGAAAGCUGGCAGAAAACCAUUUUCCAACCUUGUCUGCUUCAUUUAUCUACAUGUGGAUAUUAAAACUGUCUCAUCUCAAAGGCCCACAAACACCUUGUCAAUAAAGUAGUAAAUUAAACGCUGGCAUAAAAACAUUACCCAGGAAAAUUUCUCAUUUGCAGCCGACAGUGUUUGCCACUUUCAAGCUUAGAGAUUUCACAUUUGGUAAAUUUUAACCAACACAAGAUUUAAGCUUAUUGAGAAAUAAUUCGACAUUGAGUAAUGUCAUUCAUUUUAUUUUUUAAAGAAUUAUUUCAAUACAGUAUGUAUUUCCUAUCGGGGGAAAACACCAGCUGCAAUUGCUAGGUUUUACAGGGCAUUUUUAGGAGGGGUAAGUUUACAUUUUAUACAACUGUGUUCCUAUUCACUACCAAUCAAAGCUAAGUGAAAUAACAGUCACAAAUUUCACAACCAGAGAAUUUGUUUUGCCAUGUUAGACAUAAAAUAUUGGAGAGCCUUUCUGUGUUCUUCCAGCUUUUCCCCAUCACCUCAGUAAGGCAGCAUGUAGUCACUCUGAAAGAGGAGAUGUUUCUUUGGUAUUAAUACUGGGAAGAGGCUGUUUGCAAGCUUAUUUUCUUCUGUGUUAUGUUCAUGAGCAGGAAAAUAUAAUUUAUUUCUGCAUAUCUGCUAUCCUGGACAAAUCAAGGUGACAAUCCGUGGUUAGCUCUGUCAGGCCCUUUGUCCUAGCGCUGCUGUGAAUGGAAGUACAAUGGGAGCAAAGUGAAUAUAUAACAGUCCAGCUGCCUUGUUGUGACAGCCCUGUCCCUCCAUAGCAGUGUGUCAGCUCAUGUUUGUGUACCAGUAGCCAGUUCAUACGAUGACAAUGCAAAUUGUCUGAGAAGUCUCCUAGCAGACAACAAAUUAAGCUGGGGCUUGAGGUACAGGGAGGAGAGGAAUAGGGAGCUUGGACACAUGUCUUAGGAAAAUAAUGACCUGUAAAAGGUUAUAUUUUUGGUACAGUGAUUAUAUUCCAUCGCAGGAGCGUUAUCCCAAUUUUGGCAAGUGUCUCAAAGACGCAGGAAAUGAGGUUUCCAAACGGAAGUGGAAAGAGCUUGAGACCCCAUAUGAACAACAAUGCCAACCAACCAGAGCUUCCAGUGACUAAGCCACUACCCAAAGACUAUACAUGGACUGACCCUGGGCUCCAACCUCAUAGACAGGAGCCGAUCAUAACUGUCCUCUGAUAGGAUCUACCCAGCAGCUGACUGAAACAGAGGAAGAUACCUACAGCCAUACAUUGGACAGAGUUUGGGGACUUUUAUGGAAGAGUUGGAGAAGGCACUGUAGGGGAAAGGAACUCUAUGGGAAGACCAACUGACUCAACUAACCUGGAACCUUGGGGUUCUCAGAGAUUGAGCCACCAACCAAAGAGCAUAAAGGGGAUUGACCAAGACCCCCAGCACAUCUGCAGCAGAUAUGCAGCUCAGUCUUCAUGAGGUUCCCCAACAAGUAGAGGGGGGCUGUUCCUAAAGCUAGAGCUUGACUGUAGAAUUUGUUUCCCAACAGGGCUGCACUGCCUGGCCCCAGUGGGUAAGAAUGCACCUAAUCCUGCAGAGAGGGGAUAUGAGUGGAGGUUGCAGUGGGGGACUUUCAAUGGAGAAGGGAGGGGGAUGGUAGGAGGAACUUUGUGAGGGGAGCAAUGUUUGGGAUAUUAAUUAGUUAAUUAAUUAAAAGCUUUUUUUAUUUGUACUUGUUCAUAUUUUCAACUGGACAUUAGAAUCCUGGUUUUUCUGCUGAAUGAAUUAGUUGAUCACUGCAUGUCUUUAACUCUUUGUUCUUAUCUGCAAGACAGAAACAGUUAGAUGGAAAUAUAUAAAUCAUACAAUAUAAAAGUAUAAACUCUCAGCUGUGGUUACUAAAACACAAGCUAUCUACUCCAUUAUGGCAGUAUGUCUUUUCAACUUAAUUAUUAAUUUGUUGUAACCAGGUAAAUCAUUCUGAAAUUCAACUAAAAAGAUGCUAGUAAACUGAUCAUUGGAAGGGGGGGGAAUAGGAACAUAUUUUUCUCCCUAAAUUCGUACUCAUUGGUCAUAUCAACUUCUGUACUCCCUGGUGCCAGUCAUGUUUCAAAUAUUAGUGGGAUAGAUCCAAAGACCUCUGAGGUCCUCAUUAGGGGCCACUGAAGGGAAUAAAUGUUUCACAUGAAUAGCAUGGGCAUACUAGUGAAUAAUUGAUCUGGAAAUCUUUUUGUGUAUACUUCUUAGAAGUACGGAGUCAGACUAAGAGCACAGGUUGUCUAAUGGCUGUAGCAUGCUGCUUUCACCUAUAUUAUGUUGGUUAAAAAUAACGGAAGAAUAUUUUGACUUGACUUUCAGAAAUGCUAUAAGAAGUAAAAUCUGCAUACAUAAUUUAUAUAGGAAGGAAGAGAUCAGAGAUCAAUUGUGCUGAAAGGACCAGAUUGAGUCACAGUGUUAAUGUGAUGGGGCACAACAUACAGGGCUGGUUGGUGCUUUUAUUAGUGAGGGUAGCAUGGUAGCUGUUGAAUUUAACGUGAAAGACAGGAUGUUAUUUAAUGUUAAUCUAAUGUAUCUGUUGGAAUGAAUAAACAUUGAGUCUUUGAGUGAGUCUUAGCCAAAGUAAAAAUUGAACUGCAAAGCACA
Non-coding RNA from Rattus norvegicus (Norway rat), 3389 nucleotides. The record is from RefSeq and is a predicted model, not a curated record. Lineage: Eukaryota; Metazoa; Chordata; Mammalia; Rodentia; Muridae.